RNAcentral lists this ribosomal RNA (371 nucleotides) under uncultured organism. RNAcentral's name for it is "bacterial SSU rRNA". It matches the Rfam family "Bacterial small subunit ribosomal RNA", at positions 527 to 896 of the family's 1533-position model. The record is from RNAcentral.
CGGGGGGGCAAGCGUUGUUCGGAAUUACUGGGCGUAAAGGGCGCGUAGGCGGCCUGCUAAGUCGGACGUGAAAUCCCCCGGCUCAACCGGGGAACUGCGUCCGAUACUGGUGGGCUCGAAUCCGGGAGAGGGAUGUGGAAUUCCAGGUGUAGCGGUGAAAUGCGUAGAUAUCUGGAGGAACACCGGUGGCGAAGGCGGCAUCCUGGACCGGCAUUGACGCUGAGGCGCGAAAGCCAGGGGAGCGAACGGGAUUAGAUACCCCGGUAGUCCUGGCCCUAAACGAUGAGUGCUUGGUGUGGCGGGUAUCGAUCCCUGCCGUGCCGAAGCUAACGCAUUAAGCACUCCGCCUGGGGAGUACGGUCGCAAGGCUG